Molecule: ribosomal RNA, 432 nt
Filed under: uncultured bacterium
Lineage: Bacteria
Description: partial 16S ribosomal RNA
Rfam family: Bacterial small subunit ribosomal RNA
Source: RNAcentral
AACGAACGCUGGCGGCAUGCCUAACACAUGCAAGUCGAACGAGACCUUCGGGUCUAGUGGCGCACGGGUGCGUAACGCGUGGGAACCUGCCCUUAGGUUCGGAAUAACUCCCCGAAAGGGGUGCUAAUACCGGAUAAUGUCUUCGGACCAAAGAUUUAUCGCCUUUGGAUGGGCCCGCGUUGGAUUAGCUAGUUGGUAGGGUAAAAGCCUACCAAGGCGACGAUCCAUAGCUGGUCUGAGAGGAUGAUCAGCCACACUGGGACUGAGACACGGCCCAGACUCCUACGGGAGGCAGCAGUGGGGAAUAUUGGACAAUGGGCGAAAGCCUGAUCCAGCAAUGCCGCGUGAGUGAUGAAGGCCUUAGGGUUGUAAAGCUCUUUUACCCGGGAUGAUAAUGACAGUACCGGGAGAAUAAGCUCCGGCGACUCCGUG